This 443-nucleotide ribosomal RNA is filed under the name uncultured bacterium. RNAcentral's name for it is "partial 16S ribosomal RNA". It matches the Rfam family "Bacterial small subunit ribosomal RNA", at positions 338 to 795 of the family's 1533-position model. The record is from RNAcentral.
CCUACGGGUGGCAGCAGUGGGGAAUAUUGGGCAAUGGGCGAAAGCCUGACCCAGCAAUGCCGCGUGAAUGAAGAAGGUCUUAGGAUUGGAAAAUUCUGUCCUAUGGGAAGUAAAAAAUGACGGUACCAUAGGAGGAAGCCCCGUCUAACUACGUGCCAGCAGCCGCGGUAAGACGUAGGGGGCGAGCGUUGUCCGGAAUUACUGGGCGUAAAGAGAGCGUAGGCGGGACUACAAGUCUCAUGUGAAAUACCCGGGCUUAACUUGGUGGUUGCAUGGGAAACUGGAGAGCUUGAGUACAGGAGAGGCAAGCGGAAGUCGUAGUGUAGCGGUGAAAUGCAUAGAUAGUAGGAGGAACACCAGUGGCGAAGGCAGCUUGCUAGACUGAAACUGACGCUGAGGCGCGAAAGCGUGGGGAGCAAACAGGAGUAGAUACCCAUGUAGUC